AAUUUAAUGCAUGAAAAUGAUUAAGGCAUUUAGGAAUAACCAUUAUUUUGGCCUGAACAUAUUAUCCGAAACUUCACUAUUCCCUUAGUGAGCCCGUUUGUGCCUAAUUUGCUCCUUUUUGUUUGAUGAAAACUCACAUAUAUUGAGCCUUAGCCUGUUUUAGCCUACUUUUGUCCCUUGAAAACAUGUGAAUGCACUAGAUUAUGACGAGAUGAGAAGAUGAGUACUCUAUAAUUUUAGUGUGUUGAGAGAUAGUUCAUUAGAUUACUAUAGGGAUAUAAUAUAGACUAGUUAAAAAAAAAAAAAAAAAUUAGAAAAACAAAAAAAUAAAAAAAUAAAAAGAAAAAAAAGAAAAGAAAAAUAGAGUUCUAUAAUAAAAUGCAUACGUUUAGAGGAUUGUGGAUAUGUUGAGGAGUUACUCUAGAGUUUUAUUGAUGGAAGGUCUGGUGUGUUGCAUGUUUUCAAUCAUAUAUUGAGCCUCUUUGAUCCCCUUUUUCUUGUUUAUCCCACCUGUACGUACCCUAGCCCCAUUACAACCAAAGUGCAAGACCUUUUGAUUUGUGCAUUGGUUCCAUAUUUUGGUGGAGAUAGUGACAUAACGGCAAGCUGUGUUUGAAGGCAUAAAGUUGUGAAUUGUGUGAAUCUAUUCUGUCCAUAUUUGUCUUUUGAGAGAAAUUGAGUGAACUUGGUGAGGCAGGAUUGAAUUUGCACAAUUUUGACUUGAAUGAAGAACAUGGCAUAAUUUUCUGAGCAAGAGCAUGGUUAGUGGUUUGUGGAUAAUUGUAUCUUGAUCAAGACUUUGAGUAUUAUCUAUCAUAUUGUUGCCAAAGCUUUGUUUUUGCUGUUUUGAGUCUUCUUUUGUUCCUUCCCUGUCGUUUUGUUCUUUUUGGUGCUCGAGGGCGAGCUUUGUUUAAGUGUGGGGGGAUUUGAUUGGACGUAUUUAUACGCAUUUAUUUGGG
RNAcentral lists this long non-coding RNA (959 nucleotides) under Salvia miltiorrhiza (redroot sage). Its description in RNAcentral is "long non-coding RNA (SMIL_LNC013284)". The record is from RNAcentral. Lineage: Eukaryota; Viridiplantae; Streptophyta; Magnoliopsida; Lamiales; Lamiaceae.